Long non-coding RNA from Gavialis gangeticus (Gharial), 486 nucleotides. RefSeq lists it as uncharacterized. The record is from RefSeq and is a predicted model, not a curated record. The transcript has 3 exons. Lineage: Eukaryota; Metazoa; Chordata; Crocodylia; Gavialidae.
AAGUACAAACUGUCUAUAAAAUUUGUAUCCAAGGCCAAAUUAGCCAGAACUAAUUCCAAAUCCGAGAGUCCAGAAUCAUAAGUGGCCCUACUACUGGCAAACAUCCUCCACUCACACCUGGGGCUUCAGAUGUUUCCAGAUCCUUUGGUGGGUAACCUACUUGCAGGCCCAAGCCCAGAGGCUUGGGGUUCGGAUGUCCCAAAGUUUUGCUUGCCCUUAGCCAUAAGGCCAUCGGAGCAAGCAAGGGAGGAGCCAGUAUCUUCCAAUUUCCUCUUGCAAAAAGGUUCUCCACUCCCCUGAAUAUCCUAGUAUUCCCUUCUCUGCACCUGCCCCAGUUUGGCUACAUCCCUUUUCAAUGUAGGUGACCAAAAGAUGGUUUCCCUUACUAUGGGUCUUACCAUUCUCUUUAAUGUUGGCUACAGGUUCCUUAAUGGGGUGUAUCAAUGGUCUACCAGAGACAGCAAAUUUCUGCUGUUUCUAGUCCCA